CCUACGGUGAGCAGCAGUCGAGAAUCAUUCACAAUGGUGGAAACCCUGAUGGUGCGACGCCGCGUGGGGGAAUGAAGGUCUUCGGAUUGUAAACCCCUGUCAUGUGGGAGCAAAUUAAAAAGAUAGUACCACAAGAGGAAGAGACGGCUAACUCUGUGUCAGCAGCCGCGGUAAUACAGAGGUCUCAAGCGUUGUUCGGAAUCACUGGGCGUAAAGCGUGCGUAGGCUGUUUCGUAAGUCGUGUGUGAAAGGCGCGGGCUCAACCCGCGGACGGCACAUGAUACUGCGAGACUAGAGUAAUGGAGGGGGAACCGGAAUUCUCGGUGUAGCAGUGAAAUGCGUAGAUAUCGAGAGGAACACUCGUGGCGAAGGCGGGUUCCUGGACAUUAACUGACGCUGAGGCACGAAGGCCAGGGGAGCGAAAGGGAUUAGAUACCCUUGUAGUC
This 446-nucleotide ribosomal RNA is filed under the name uncultured bacterium. RNAcentral describes it as "partial 16S ribosomal RNA". It matches the Rfam family "Bacterial small subunit ribosomal RNA", at positions 338 to 795 of the family's 1533-position model. The record is from RNAcentral.